UCUCCGUCAGAGAGGGAAUCAGCCCACUUAGAUGAUAAAAAUUCCUCUGUUUGUAUAAAUGAAGGUUUCAGUUUGCUCUGAUUUGUGAAUUUACUGUAUUAAAUUGAAUUUUAAAGUUCUAAGGUUGAUUUAAAAGUAUCCAUUUAUAACAUUUCAAAGAACAAAGGAACUUUUAUUUACAGCUUCCUUAUCUCUUUUGGUGCUCGGAGACUCCCAGCUAACAACUUCACAGGGCGGAAAGAUUUACAGGCCUGUGACAUCAUAGUCCAACGUGGAACUAAGGCUGAAGUUACUAUUAACUCUUUAUAGACCCCGUUAACCGUUUGUUUAACUUACUGUUUUCAGUUAUUGGGAUCCUCAGAGAGGACAUAACCUGGACUUUCCCUUCCUCUCUCAUCCUGAUUCUAAUAGCAUCUGUAACUGGAUUAAAAAUCUUUUCUUUCAGGAGGCCAUCCAGGCUUUAAGCUCACAAGAAAUCUUCUCCUGCGAGAGGAGAGAGGGACCCCCCGGAAGGGGCUGGAGGCUCUCCCUCUCAACAGGGACAGGAAGAAACUGAAAGCUGGAAUUCAUAACCAUUCCCUUACUCAAGUCCUUACAGGCUGUGCAGUAUACCCAGAAAGCCACCCAUAAGCUUGUUCCUGUACAACCCUUCCAGCCCAAGGACUCGGUAUAGGUAAAGAAGUUCACUGCCCAAGGACUCACCCCAACCUGGAAGGGAUGCUACACUGUUAUCCUGAGCACGCCCACGGCUGUUGAAGUAGACGGCGUCCAGACCUGGCUACACCACUCCCAGCUCCUGCACCAGGAAACGGCCUAGAUCCUGGCAACCAGCGGCCUCACCCGUGAGAUCCCUAGCCUGGGCUCCACGCAGGCCAGGAGGAAACUCAACACCUGCAGGAGAAGAACUGGAAUUCACUGUGGACAGUACUGUUGGGGACUGUAGUACUAAAGGCCUUAACCAGAAGUAAAAGACAAAGUAAAAAUGCAAA
Long non-coding RNA from Eptesicus fuscus (big brown bat), 989 nucleotides. RefSeq lists it as uncharacterized. The record is from RefSeq and is a predicted model, not a curated record. NCBI's taxonomy places the organism in Eukaryota, Metazoa, Chordata, Mammalia, Chiroptera, Vespertilionidae. The transcript has 2 exons.